This 226-nucleotide ribosomal RNA is filed under the name Blautia faecis. RNAcentral's name for it is "partial 16S ribosomal RNA". It matches the Rfam family "Bacterial small subunit ribosomal RNA", at positions 1 to 205 of the family's 1533-position model. Lineage: Bacteria; Bacillati; Bacillota; Clostridia; Lachnospirales; Lachnospiraceae. The record is from RNAcentral.
UUUUAUCAGAGAGUUUGAUCCUGGCUCAGGAUGAACGCUGGCGGCGUGCUUAACACAUGCAAGUCGAACGGGAAACAUUUUAUUGAAGCUUCGGCAGAUUUAGCUUGUUUCUAGUGGCGGACGGGUGAGUAACGCGUGGGUAACCUGCCUUAUACUGGGGGAUAACAGCCAGAAAUGACUGCUAAUACCGCAUAAGCGCACAGAACCGCAUGGUUCGGUGUGAAAA